This 244-nucleotide unclassified non-coding RNA is filed under the name Hevea brasiliensis (rubber tree). The record is from RNAcentral. Lineage: Eukaryota; Viridiplantae; Streptophyta; Magnoliopsida; Malpighiales; Euphorbiaceae.
UUUGAUGCCUGUCUUGAGGCGGAAAUCUACACCGAAAGCUUAAUAUCUCCCAUUUUACAAAAUGAGCCAAUUCCACAACAACAAUGAAGGCUGCAGAAGCUCAGAUGAAUGAUAAUCCCAUGACUUAUGACAUGAAGUGAAAAAGCUAUGUAUGGAACAACCGAACAACUAAUCCACCACCUGUAACUGCAUGGAGCACAAGGAAGAAACGCGGGCUUUCCCAGUUUUUACAGUUCAUUUGUGA